This 2479-nucleotide long non-coding RNA is filed under the name Canis lupus familiaris (dog). Its description in RNAcentral is "lncRNA (ENSCAFG00845029464.1)". The record is from RNAcentral. Lineage: Eukaryota; Metazoa; Chordata; Mammalia; Carnivora; Canidae.
GUCAUGCCACUGAAUCAACAGGUAAAGAGGAUGAUUGUUUUAAUUCAUUGGAGUGAUUGACACUGAUCAUAAGCAGAAAUAGUGUUGCUAGGAGGCAAUAGGGGUAAGGAAGAGUAUUUCCGGAAUGCAAGAGAAAAAUAAACAUCACCCCAAAAAUUUUUUUUUAGGUGAUGAGGUGCAGAGGGAGAAGGAGAGAGAGAAUCUUUAGCAAGCUCCAUGCCCAGUGCAGGGUCCUAUACCAGCCCAAACUCACAACCCUGAGAUCAUGACCUGAGCUGAAAUCAAGAGUUGGAUGCUUAACUGACUGAGCUACCCAGGCACCCCUCACCCAAAGAUUUUUUAAAGUGUGUGUUGGAGUGGAUUUUGUAUCCUUUUCUGGGGGAAAGGGAUGUGUGUUUGGGGUUGCAUGUGGUAUAGGUGUGUCAUGGUUGGUGGAAACAUGAAGUUGCUAUUGUCUUUAUUUGGAGUUUAAAUACAGUUUAAGGAGAUGCACAUAGGUUCCAAGUCAAGGAAGGAAGGGCGUGCUGGGUUUGUAAUGUGUCAGCAUGCCUAGAAUGAACUGUAUUUCCAAGAAUUCCUUUUCCUGUGUGUUUUUGGUUAGGGUAGGCCAUAAGACAGAUUCGGGUUUGAGACUUUGAAUGAGGCAGUGAAGCAGAAGUCACUUUGUAGCUAACACCCAUUGUCACCGAUGUGCUGACUCACCUGUUUGAUGUGAGGCAGUGACUGGGCUGCAACUUACCCACUUCCCCUGGGUCCCCUUAGCUCCUGCAAUUCCUGGACUUGAGGUAUGUGUUGAGUUCCAUGAUAAAGGACCCAGCUAACGCAUGACACUCACACCACUAGGGUCAGAGGCAACAAAAAUCGACAUGAGUUUCAGUCUGUCCUCAUGGGCUUCUAUGCUUUGGAUUCCAGAUCUUGUUCUUGCCAUAUUACAUCAGCCUUGCCUUUUCAAAUAGAUGCUAGGACUGUCCUGCCUUACAGAGAUUGUUACACAAUUACAUAAGGUCAAAUCCCUGUAACAAAUCCCUAUAAAUAUAAAUGUAAUAUAAGUAUAAACAUAUGUGUACGUAUAUGAAAAGCAGACUUACUAGGAUAUAUAUAUAUAAGUGUGUGUGUGUGUAUAUAUAUAUAUAUAUACACACACUAUACUAUAUACUAUAUAGAUAUACUAGUGGUUCUUCAUUUAUUAUUGGACCAAUACUGAUACAUAAUACAAAAUAUAUUCUCUUACCAUAAUGGAAUUAAUCUAAAAAUCCAUAAAAGAAUGAUUACAGGAAUAUCUCCAAACACUAGGAAAUUAAACAACACACUUUUAUUUAUUUAUUUAUUUAUUUUUAGAGAGAGAGAGAGAGAGAGAGCAUAAGCAGGGAUGGGGAGGGGCAGACAGAGAGGGAGAGAAACAAUCUUAAGCAGGCUCCAUGGUCAGUGUGGAGCUGGACCUGAGGCUCAAUCUCACAACCCUGAGAUCACGAUCUGACCAGAAAUCAAGAGUUGGACACUUAACUGACUGAGCCACCCAGGUGCCCCAAAACAACACACUUUUAAAUCAUGGGUCAGGGACGCCUGGAUGGCUCAGAUGGUUAAGUGUCUGCCUUCAACUCAAGUCAUGAUCCCAGGUCCUGGAAUCGAGCCCCACAUCGGGUUCCUAGCUCAGCGGGGGGUCCUGCUUCUCCCUCUCCCUCUUUCUCUCCCUUUGCUUGUGCUCUCUAUGUCUCUCUCAAAUAAAUAAAUUAAAAAUCUUAAAGAAUAUAUAAUGAAUCAAAGAAGUCUCAAAUGACAUUAGAAAUGUUGAACAGCAAAUAUACCAAGUUUUUCAUGCUACUCUGUAGCACCUAGAAUACAUUAAUACGUCCUCUAUUAAUUGAAGGGUAUCUUAGGUGGGGUUCCCCAGAAGCAGAGCCUGAGACAGGGAUUCUUGUACAAGUGACUUAUUGGAGGAGCUCUCAGGAAGAGUGGAUUAAGGAAGUAAGGGGAGAGGAGAAGUCAGGAAAAGAGCAGCAAAGCUCUUUUAAGGAUAGCAAAGCUAUCCUUAGCAGGAGCCUACCUCUAGAACAUAAUAACACCAUACAAUUAACCCCCUUCAGACAAGGGGCUGUGGCCUUUACAGUAUCAGGCAGUCAUUGGCUGCAAGCCAAAGUGAGGGCUGUUUCCAGACAUCUCUGGGAUAGCCAGCUCCACUGGGCAGAGGUCAAUUCUCCAGAGAAAGGGAAGCCCUGAGCCAUAAGCAGUCAACACUUAAGAGUAGCUGGGGGCUGGGUGUGCUAGCCUGAUAAAAGGGUCUAUCUGGGCAGGGCAUCAGCAGCAUCCAUUAAAAAGGGUUUCAGAAGAAAUUUAUUUGUCAUGAGACGUCUAACACAUUUUCUUUUAUUUUGAGACAGAAAGGCAUCAUCUUUCACUAUGGUGUGUGAGCAUGGAAACAGCAUUUAAAAACAUGGUUUCCUUCUACUGUCACAAAAAAAUAAUUCUUAAAAAAAAAAAA